This is a long non-coding RNA of Homo sapiens (human), 2162 nucleotides long. Ensembl annotates it as tektin 4 pseudogene 2. Its record names the gene TEKT4P2. NCBI's taxonomy places the organism in Eukaryota, Metazoa, Chordata, Mammalia, Primates, Hominidae. The record is from Ensembl.
GGAUCCCAGCGGCGGUCGUGUAGCUGAGCAGGCCUGGGGCUUGGUUCUAUGUCCCUGUAGCUAUGUUUCCAGUGUCCUCUGGGUGUUUCCAAGAGCAACAAGAAACGAAUAAAUCUCUGUCCGCGAUCCAGCCCGGUCCACCACAGCCUUCAGCAGCGACACUCGUAGCCUCCCACCUCUCAGACCGAGUGAGCCUCGCAAAGCCGUUGGGCGCGCGCCUGCACCGCGGUUGCUGCCUGGCUCCCGGAAGCCCUUCCCUGGUGGCGCGUGCCGGCAGGUGGGGCUGCAGCUCUGGGCGGGUGCCGAUGAGCUCGCAGGUCCUCUUGGGAUCGCCCGGGCGGCCCCAGGAUCGCAGGAGCGCCGCCAGCCCGGCCUGAGAAGGAGGGCCUGUCUGGCCUUGCAGCCCACCCCGCUCCUCCUCGGAAGGGAGAUAGGGUGCUGGCAAGGGCACUCCGCUGCCACCUGGGUGGCUUCGCAGAUGGCCUGGCUUCACGCUGAGGCUCUGGCCCUGGAGUCUGUGUGGCUAGUGUCAGGUAGCUGUAGAGGCAUGGAGGCAGAGUCAGGGGCUGCUCUUUCCCCCACCAGCCCUAACUGCUGCCAGUGCCCCACGCACAGUUUGCAGCUGCAGAUCUGGCACUGGCGUGGGACGGCGGAGCUUCCCUUGGAUGGCCUCAGGGUUGCAGAGCGCACAGCCCACCUGGCCUCAACUUCCGCUCUUCUUGGGCAUCUCUCUGGAUCCUGGGCCCGGGCGCUGGGCACUCUGUAUCCACAUGGAUGAAACUGAGCAGCUGCUGGCGGGGCCCAUCGCCUGAUUUUGCCGCCUGGGGGUCUGGUCUCAGGAUCCACGCUACUGGGGGGCGGGCCUGGUUUGGGGUGUCCAGUCACUUACUGCCGGUGCACCACGUCUAGACUGCAGCUGCGGCUCCGAUGUGGCGUCAGCUGGCGGGCCUGGUACCUGAUGUCCUCAGGGUCAAGUGCAUCGCCCGCCCACUUGAGGGGUUGCUGUGACUUGGCCUCCUCCAAGAACUCAGGGGCCACCAGGGCUGGCUCUUCGUGGUAACCGGGAUGGUAUUGAGCAGCAGGUUUUCACCCUGGUGCCACUGCUGUGCGGACUGCCUGACUUGGGCGCCCAGGCACUGGCCUCAGGGUCCGCGUGGCAGGUGUGUGUGCGGGUAGGGUGAGUGGCACGGAGGGUCAGGGGUUGCUCCGUCAUCUCUGCCUGUGUGCAACUUGCAGUUUUGCAGUUUUCUGCAGCAGCUGAGGCGCUGGCGUGGGAAGGCGGAGCUCCCCUGGAUGGCGUCAGGUUUGCAGGCACAGAGCACAGCCCAGGCCUGAGGGUCCGCUCAGGGGCCAUGAUGGUUGAGUUCUCCGUGGAAACUGGGAUGGGGUGAACAGCCAGUUCCCGUCCUUUGGCCGCCUGGCCAACUACCAGACUUAGCCGCUGCCGCCCAGGCAUCUGUCUCUGGGGUUGCCGCUACUUGGGUAGAAGUGGGGGUCGGGGUGGGGCAUGGAGUGUCACCGGUUGCCAGGCCAGCACUGUCUUUGCAACAUAUUCAGAUGGCGGCGGGCAGCUCGGGCACCAGCAUGGGCUGGGGGGGCUCCCCUGGAAGGCCCUCAGAUCGCUCACAGCAUUGUCCAAGGGCUUCCUCGGCCUGUGCCAGGUGAGCAAGGUAGGGGGGAGCUUCCAAGGCUUCUAUCCCAACUCUACUUAUUUCUAGCUAUUUUCUCUUGAGUUAUUUUGUGUCUAUCUCAGUUUUAUUUGCAAAAAUAGUAUAUGCAAAAUACAUCUAGUGAAUGUACAUCAGGCAUAUAGAAGAUCUGGCAGAAACACGUUUUCUCAUGCCCAUUUCCAUUCAGUAUUUGAACACAGAGACUUCCAUGGUUUUGAUUCUUUCCACAAAAGGAUAGUUUUGUCUGUUUUCACCAUUUACAUAAGUGAAAUUAUAAAUUAUAUAAUUUUUAUGUUCAUUCACUAAACAUGCUUGUGACAUCAUUUUGCUCCUAUUGAUUAUUCACUAAUUUUAUUUUGUAAUACUCAAUUUUAUGACUAUACCACAGGUUUGAGGCCUUUGCUUGUUUUGUUUAUAAUCCACUCCACUAUUGAUAGACACAAAAGCAGUUUCUGAUUUGAGGUUAUCAUGAAUAAACCUGCUACGAACAAA